Molecule: long non-coding RNA, 257 nt
Filed under: Mytilus galloprovincialis (Mediterranean mussel)
Lineage: Eukaryota; Metazoa; Mollusca; Bivalvia; Mytilida; Mytilidae
Source: RNAcentral
AUAUAUACUAUUACUUGUCAAAACAAUUGGAUAUACGAAUAUGUAUAUUAUACAAUGUUUGCUCUUAUUUCAUAUACUUGAGUAUGUGCAAGUUAUGAUGCACAUAGAUUGUUUUGUUAUAAUACGGUGCGAGUAGCAAGAUUAUUUAUGCUCAGCAAUAGAUUGUUUUUUAGAUUUUUUAUAUUGUGCAAAUUUUGUCGUUAUUUUUUUAUAUCAUGACAUAUCAUAACAGUUUCUUUUCAUUCCUUUCAUUUCAU